GGGGAAUAUUGCACAAUGGGGGAAACCCUGAUGCAGCGACGCCGCGUGGAGGAAGAAGGUCUUCGGAUUGUAAACUCCUGUUGUUGGGGAAGAUAAUGACGGUACCCAACAAGGAAGUGACGGCUAACUACGUGCCAGCAGCCGCGGUAAAACGUAGGGUGCAAGCGUUGUCCGGAAUUACUGGGUGUAAAGGGAGCGCAGGCGGGAAGACAAGUUGGAAGUGAAAACCAUGGGCUCAACCCAUGAAUUGCUUUCAAAACUGUUUUUCUUGAGUAGUGCAGAGGUAGAUGGAAUUCCCGGUGUAGCGGUGGAAUGCGUAGAUAUCGGGAGGAACACCAGUGGCGAAGGCGGUCUACUGGGCACCAACUGACGCUGAGGCUCGAAAGCAUGGGUAGCAAACAGGAUUAGAUACCCUGGUAGUCCAUGCCGUAAACGAUGAUUACUAGGUGUUGGGGGAUUGACCCCCUCAGUGCCGCAGUUAACACAAUAAGUAAUCCACCUGGGGAGUACGACCGCAAGGUUGAAACUCAAAGGAAUUGACGGGGGCCCGCACAAGCAGUGGAGUAUGUGGUUUAAUUCGAAGCAACGCGAAGAACCUUACCAGGUCUUGACAUCCGAUGCAUAGCACAGAGAUGUGUGAAAUCCUUCGGGACAUCGAGACAGGUGGUGCAUGGUUGUCGUCAGCUCGUGUCGUGAGAUGUUGGGUUAAGUCCCGCAACGAGCGCAACCCUUAUUGCCAGUUACUACGUUAAGAGGACUCUGGCGAGACUGCCGUUGACAAAACGGAGGAAGGUGGGGAUGACGUCAAAUCAUCAUGCCCUUUAUGACCUGGGCUACACACGUACUACAAUGGCGUUAAACAAAGAGAAGCAAGACCGCGAGGUGGAGCAAAACUCAAAAACAACGUCUCAGUUCAGAUUGCAGGCUGCAACUCGCCUGCAUGAAGUCGGAAUUGCUAGUAAUCGCGGAUCAGCAUGCCGCGGUGAAUACGUUCCCG
Molecule: ribosomal RNA, 997 nt
Filed under: uncultured bacterium
Lineage: Bacteria
Description: bacterial SSU rRNA
Rfam family: Bacterial small subunit ribosomal RNA
Source: RNAcentral